CUAUUUAGAACGCUGUCCAGGGGAGGAGCCAAGAUGGCCGAAUAGGAACAGCUCCGGUCUACAGCUCCCAGCGUGAGCGACGCAGAAGACGGGUGAUUUCUGCAUUUCCAUCUGAGGUACCGGGUUCAUCUCACUAGGGAGUGCCAGACAGUGGGCGCAGGCCAAGGCGGUGGGACCGAAGUUACCUCUGGAGUAUGAAAAUAAGCAACACCAUUAUGAAAAGUCAAAAGAACUUUGGAGUCAAACAGUCCUGCAUUUGAAGGCUAGUGCUACCACUCACCAUUAGGCUAUUUAACCCCAUACUUCUUAAAGUUGGAUAAGGGAUGGAUGGUAUACCAGGAGAUAUGAAAAAGCAGAGGCUGAACAUAGUAAUCUUCCUACAGAAUCAGUUUUAUUCAAUUGUUUUUGGGAAAUAUUUUUAUAUUCAAA
RNAcentral lists this long non-coding RNA (429 nucleotides) under Homo sapiens (human). RNAcentral's name for it is "HSALNT0045558". The record is from RNAcentral. Lineage: Eukaryota; Metazoa; Chordata; Mammalia; Primates; Hominidae.